Molecule: ribosomal RNA, 216 nt
Filed under: Glomeromycotina sp.
Lineage: Eukaryota; Fungi; Glomeromycota
Description: partial small subunit ribosomal RNA
Rfam family: Eukaryotic small subunit ribosomal RNA (bases 40-216)
Source: RNAcentral
GGGUCAGUAGGUUGGUCGUGCCACCGGUACGUACUGGUCUCACUGAUUCCUCCUUCCUGAAGAACCGUAAUGCCAUUAAUUUGGUGUUGCGGGGAAACAGGACUGUUCCUUUGAAAAAAUUAGAGUGUUUAAAGCAAGCUAACGCUUGAAUACAUUAGCAUGGAAUAAUGAAAUAGGACGAUCGAUCCUAUUUUGUUGGUUUCUAGGAUUGACGUA